This 633-nucleotide ribosomal RNA is filed under the name methanotrophic bacterium. RNAcentral's name for it is "bacterial SSU rRNA". It matches the Rfam family "Bacterial small subunit ribosomal RNA", at positions 8 to 642 of the family's 1533-position model. Lineage: Bacteria; Pseudomonadati; Pseudomonadota; Alphaproteobacteria. The record is from RNAcentral.
AGAGUUUGAUCCUGGCUCAGGAUGAACGCUAGCGGCAGGCUUAACACAUGCAAGUCGAGGGGUAGAGUUCUUCGGAAUUUGAGACCGGCGCACGGGUGCGUAACGCGUAUGCAAUCUGCCUUCCACAGAGGGAUAGCCCAGAGAAAUUUGGAUUAAUACCUCAUAGCAUCAUGUUCCGGCAUCGGGAUAUGAUUAAAGUCACAACGGUGGAAGAUGAGCAUGCGUCCCAUUAGCUAGUUGGUAAGGUAACGGCUUACCAAGGCAACGAUGGGUAGGGGUCCUGAGAGGGAGAUCCCCCACACUGGUACUGAGACACGGACCAGACUCCUACGGGAGGCAGCAGUGAGGAAUAUUGGUCAAUGGGCGCAAGCCUGAACCAGCCAUGCCGCGUGCAGGAUGACGGUCCUAUGGAUUGUAAACUGCUUUUGUACGGGAAGAAACACUCCUACGUGUAGGAGCCUGACGGUACCGUAAGAAUAAGGAUCGGCUAACUCCGUGCCAGCAGCCGCGGUAAUACGGAGGAUCCAAGCGUUAUCCGGAAUCAUUGGGUUUAAAGGGUCUGUAGGCGGUCUUGUAAGUCAGUGGUGAAAGCCCAUCGCUCAACGGUGGAACGGCCAUUGAUACUGCAGGACU